AUGCUUGUUUCAGCAGCAUUUAUACUAAAAUUGGAAUGACACAGCGGAGCUUAGCACGGUCCCGUGUAAGGAUGACAUGCAAAUUUGUGAACGUGUUCCAUAUCUUU
This is a small nuclear RNA of Monodelphis domestica (gray short-tailed opossum), 107 nucleotides long. The record is from Ensembl. Lineage: Eukaryota; Metazoa; Chordata; Mammalia; Didelphimorphia; Didelphidae.